AGUGAACGCUGGCGGCGUGCUUAACACAUGCAAGUCGAGCGAAGUGGUAGCUGUAGCAAUACAGUGUACGCUUAGCGGCAGACGGGUGAGUAACACGUGGAUAACUUUCCUCUUUGAGGGGGAUAGCCCGCCGAAAGGCGGGGUAAUACCCCAUAAGAUUCAUUGGUGGCAUCAUCGAUGAAUGAAACAUCCGCAAGGAUGGCUGAGAGAUAGAUCUGCGGCCUAUCAGCUAGUUGGUGAGGUAACGGCUCACCAAGGCUAUGACGGGUAACCGGCCUGAAAGGGCGGACGGUCACACUGACACUGAGACACGGGUCAGACACCUACGGGUGGCAGCAGUGAGGAAUCUUGGACAAUGGGGGCAACCCUGAUCCAGCGACGCCGCGUGAAGGAUGAAGGUCUUCGGAUUGUAAACUUCUUUUGUUUGGGAUUAAGAAAUCUGUAGAAAUACGGAAAGUGAAUGUACCAGAUGAAUAAGCCACGG
RNAcentral lists this ribosomal RNA (484 nucleotides) under uncultured bacterium. RNAcentral describes it as "bacterial SSU rRNA". It matches the Rfam family "Bacterial small subunit ribosomal RNA", at positions 29 to 496 of the family's 1533-position model. The record is from RNAcentral.